AUUUUAGAUUCAGGGCUGCCCAUAUAAGCAGGGCAUUUUGCUGCUGGGAAGCCAGGCAAUAACAUUGCCUGGCUGUAAGGCUGUUGGUAUUAUCUGGAGUGGUGACCCCAGAUCUUACCUGCCACGUCUUGAUGUUAAAGGAUUUGUACUGGGAGUGUGCAACUUAAACACCACUGGACAAAUGGGAUACUGAUAAAUUCCCUUGAGUUUUGAAUUUUCCCAUAAAAUGAACUGUAUUGCCAUAUCCUGGAUUGGGGGAAAUGACAGAAGCCUGUCCCCCAAGCUACUGAUCAAUACUUUCUCCCAUGGAGAUAAUUAUUCUGUGCAAGACCCCUAUCUAAGCAUUCCAAAAUACACUCGGGUAUCAUAAACAAAGAUGAGUUCCUGUCCUUUGGGCUCGAUGAGCCUAAUUUCCCUUUCCUUGAGUCUAACAAAAAAAUCGGUGCCUUCCCCCUUAAGCACCCUAAACAGUGUUGGGAUUAUUGUAUUUAUGUUUCUUCUUUACAAAGGUGAUCUAGCCUGACCUGACUUUGUAAUAAAAAAUAAGAAAAGUUUUACUUGUCCCUGUAGGACUCAGCCAUUUCUUCUUGGCUAGCCCUCUGCUUCCUGAAGUCGUGCCAGCUCCCGAAUCAUGUUCCCAGCAAUGAUUCCUCAGGCAGGAUCUGCCAGCUUGAUGCUGUUCUCUGUCUUCCCCAGCCAGCUGACAUC
Alligator mississippiensis (American alligator) is the source of this 708-nucleotide long non-coding RNA. RefSeq lists it as uncharacterized. The record is from RefSeq and is a predicted model, not a curated record. NCBI's taxonomy places the organism in Eukaryota, Metazoa, Chordata, Crocodylia, Alligatoridae. The transcript has 3 exons.